This 492-nucleotide ribosomal RNA is filed under the name uncultured bacterium. Its description in RNAcentral is "partial 16S ribosomal RNA". It matches the Rfam family "Bacterial small subunit ribosomal RNA", at positions 29 to 507 of the family's 1533-position model. The record is from RNAcentral.
AGUGAACGCUGGCGGUAGGCCUAACACAUGCAAGUCGAACGGCAGCACAGUAAGAGCUUGCUCUUACGGGUGGCGAGUGGCGGACGGGUGAGGAAUACAUCGGAAUCUACUUUUUCGUGGGGGAUAACGUAGGGAAACUUACGCUAAUACCGCAUACGACCUACGGGUGAAAGCAGUGGAUCUUCGGACCUUGCGCGAUUGAAUGAGCCGAUGUCGGAUUAGCUAGUUGGCGGGGUAAAGGCCCACCAAGGCGACGAUCCGUAGCUGGUCUGAGAGGAUGAUAGGCCACACUGGAACGGAGACGCGGUCCAGACUCCUACGGGAGGCAGCAGUGGGGAAUAUUGGACAAUGGGCGCAAGCCUGAUCCAGCCAUACCGCGUGGGUGAAGAAGGCCUUCGGGUUGUAAAGACCUUUUGUUGGGAAAGAAAAGCAGCAGGUUAAUACCCCGCUGUUCUGACGGUACCCAAAGAAUAAGCACCGGCUAACUUCGUG